GAUGAACGCUGGCGGCGUGCCUAAUACAUGCAAGUCGAGCGAACGGACGAGGAGCUUGCUCCUCUGACGUUAGCGGCGGACGGGUGAGUAACACGUGGAUAACCUACCUAUAAGACUGGGAUAACUUCGGGAAACCGGAGCUAAUACCGGAUAAUAUAUUGAACCGCAUGGUUCAAUAGUGAAAGACGGUUUUGCUGUCACUUAUAGAUGGAUCCGCGCCGCAUUAGCUAGUUGGUAAGGUAACGGCUUACCAAGGCAACGAUGCGUAGCCGACCUGAGAGGGUGAUCGGCCACACUGGAACUGAGACACGGUCCAGACUCCUACGGGAGGCAGCAGUAGGGAAUCUUCCGCAAUGGGCGAAAGCUUGACGGAGCAACGCCGCGUGAGUGAUGAAGGUCUUCGGAUCGUAAAACUCUGUUAUUAGGGAAGAACAAAUGUGUAAGUAACUAUGCACGUCCUGACGGUACCUAAUCAGAAAGCCACGGCUAACUACGUG
RNAcentral lists this ribosomal RNA (497 nucleotides) under uncultured bacterium. RNAcentral describes it as "partial 16S ribosomal RNA". It matches the Rfam family "Bacterial small subunit ribosomal RNA", at positions 28 to 507 of the family's 1533-position model. The record is from RNAcentral.